Long non-coding RNA from Papio anubis (olive baboon), 1089 nucleotides. The record is from Ensembl. Lineage: Eukaryota; Metazoa; Chordata; Mammalia; Primates; Cercopithecidae.
GCCAUAACAGGGUAUUGAACUAUUAGAAAAUACCAUUUGGGUAUUUCGAUGAGAAGAAUAGAAUCUAUGAAGAUGCUAAACAAAGACCAUACAUUCCAUAUGGUUUGGGCAGAUAAAGAAGUAGUAAAACCUAUAUUCUAAAUUCUAAGCAAACCAUUCCUGGGCAGUGGCCACCGGAAGCUGGACCUCAGAGCCUGAAACCUGGAUGUCAAAACCCAUCACUUCGCAUACAGCUCAUUCUAGGUUGUCAGAUUUUCCUGUGUGGAGUUGCUCAUCUGCAUUUUUUCAGCUGGUAUAGUUGUUAAGCUAUACUCCUGAUGUCAGAUGGAUCAAGGGUCCAAAUCCUGCCACUACCACCUUCUAGCUGUGUGACCACUCACUGGCAGUUAUUUGACCUGCAGCUCACUCUGAUGGAAGCCAGCUGCUAUGUUGUGUGUUGCUCUAUGGAGAGGCCCAGGUAGAAGAAAUUGAAGGAGGCUUUCGACCAACAGUCAGCAAGGAACUGAGGCUUUCAGUCCAAGAGCCUAUAAGGAACUGAAUCCUACCAGCAACCAGGCAAGUGGUUUCAAAGUGGAGCCUCUGUCAGCUGAGGCUUUGAAUAAGAUCACAGCUCCAUGUAACAUCUUGAUUGUAGUCUUGUGAGAGAUCUUGAGCCAGUGGCACCCAGCUAAGCUGUACCUGUAUUCCUGAGCAAUAAAACCCCACAGAUAAUAAAUGUUUGUCAUUAACUGUGAAAUCUUGCAGGUAAUUUGUUCUGGAGAAAGAGAUAACAAAUACACAGAUCAUAUAAAUAAAGUGGCUCAGUUGACCUGGAACUCGGGGAUCUGAUUCCAGGGUCUGUAUUCUUUAUCUCUGUGCAAUGAAGACUUUGAUUAGCCUGCACUUUUAUAAGCUACUAUUUCCACCACAUUGAAUUUGAUAGUCUUUCAGUUCUUCUUUGAUUCUAUUUGUUCUUCUUUGAAAGAACCUUUUCUAACUAGAAACAAACUGUUGCUGAAAUGAGGUAUUAUUUUCCACGUAGGCAAUUUCUUUGAGUCAUGGAAAUUUAGGGUUAGAAGGAACUUAAAAAUCCACAUAGUCCAAAUCAAC